UACGAAGGGAGCUAGCGUUGUUCGGAUUUACUGGGCGUAAAGGGCGCGUAGGCGGUUAUGCAAGUCAGAUGUGAAAGCCCUGGGCUCAACCCGGGAAUUGCAUUUGAAACUGCAUGGCUUGAGUAUGGGAGAGGUAGGUAGAAUUCCCAGUGUAGAGGUGAAAUUCGUAGAUAUUGGGAAGAAUACCAGUGGCGAAGGCGGCCUACUGGACCAUAACUGACGCUGAGGCGCGAAAGCGUGGGGAGCAAACAGG
RNAcentral lists this ribosomal RNA (253 nucleotides) under uncultured bacterium. RNAcentral describes it as "partial 16S ribosomal RNA". It matches the Rfam family "Bacterial small subunit ribosomal RNA", at positions 524 to 776 of the family's 1533-position model. The record is from RNAcentral.